GUGUCAGCCGCCGCGGUAAUACGUAGGAUCCAAGCGUUGUCCGGAUUUAUUGGGUUUAAAGGGUGCGCAGGCGGCUCAAUAAGUCAGUGGUGAAAGCCGACAGCUUAACUGUCGAAUUGCCAUUGAUACUGUUGAGCUUGAGUAUAGUUGAGGUUGGCGGAAUGUAUCAUGUAGCGGUGAAAUGCUUAGAUAUGAUACAGAACACCGAUUGCGAAGGCAGCUGACUAAGCUAUUACUGACGCUCAUGCACGAAAGCGUGGGGAUCAAACAGGAUUAGAUACCCUGGUAGUCCACGCCGUAAACGUUGAUAACUCGAUGUUGGCGAUAUACUGUCAGCGUCUUAGCGAAAGCGUUAAGUUAUCCACCUGGGGAGUACGCCGGCAACGGUGAA
Molecule: ribosomal RNA, 391 nt
Filed under: uncultured bacterium
Lineage: Bacteria
Description: bacterial SSU rRNA
Rfam family: Bacterial small subunit ribosomal RNA
Source: RNAcentral